AAAGGGUGCGUAGGCGGCCUGUUAAGUCAGGGGUGAAAGACGGUAGCUCAACUAUCGCAGUGCCCUUGAUACUGAUGGGCUUGAAUGAACUAGAGGUAGGCGGAAUGAGACAAGUAGCGGUGAAAUGCAUAGAUAUGUCUCAGAACACCGAUUGCGAAGGCAGCUUACUAUGGUUCUAUUGACGCUGAGGCACGAAAGCGUGGGGAUCAAACAGGAUUAGAUACCCCAGU
RNAcentral lists this ribosomal RNA (230 nucleotides) under uncultured bacterium. Its description in RNAcentral is "partial 16S ribosomal RNA". It matches the Rfam family "Bacterial small subunit ribosomal RNA", at positions 562 to 791 of the family's 1533-position model. The record is from RNAcentral.